GACGAACGCUGGCGGCGUGCUUAACACACGCAAGUCGAACGGUGAAGCGCUUGCCUUUUUGGUGGGUGUGGAUGAGUGGCGAACGGGUGAGUAACACGUGAGUAACCUGCCCUCUUCUUCUGGAUAACCUCAUGAAAGUGGGGCUAAUACGGGGUAUUCCGGGUCUGUCGCAUGGCGGGUUUGGGAAAGAUUGCGCCUUUGGGUGUUUUCGGUGGGGGAUGGGCUCGCGGCCUAUCAGCUUGUUGGUGGGGUGAUGGCCUACCAAGGCGGUGACGGGUAGCCGGCCUGAGAGGGUGGACGGCCACACUGGGACUGAGACACGGCCCAGACUCCUGCGGGAGGCAGCAGUGGGGAAUAUUGCACAAUGGGCGCAAGCCUGAUGCAGCGACGCCGCGUGAGGGAUGGAGGCCUUCGGGUUGUGAACCUCUUUCGCCAGUGAAGCAGGCCUGCUCCUGUGUGGGUGGGUUGACGGUAGCUGGAUAAGAAGCGCCGGCUAACUACGUG
This 504-nucleotide ribosomal RNA is filed under the name uncultured bacterium. RNAcentral describes it as "partial 16S ribosomal RNA". It matches the Rfam family "Bacterial small subunit ribosomal RNA", at positions 28 to 507 of the family's 1533-position model. The record is from RNAcentral.